RNAcentral lists this ribosomal RNA (278 nucleotides) under uncultured Nisaea sp. RNAcentral's name for it is "partial 16S ribosomal RNA". It matches the Rfam family "Bacterial small subunit ribosomal RNA", at positions 29 to 334 of the family's 1533-position model. Lineage: Bacteria; Pseudomonadati; Pseudomonadota; Alphaproteobacteria; Rhodospirillales; Thalassobaculaceae. The record is from RNAcentral.
AGCGAACGCUGGCGGCAUGCCUAACACAUGCAAGUCGAACGCCUUCUUCGGAAGGAGUGGCGCACGGGUGAGUAACGCGUGGGAACCUGCCCCGAGGUACGGAACAACAGCUGGAAACGACUGCUAAUACCGUAUGUGUCCUAAGGGAGAAAGAUUUAUCGCCUUGGGAGGGGCCCGCGUCCGAUUAGCUUGUUGGUGAGGUAACGGCUCACCAAGGCUUCGAUCGGUAGCUGGUCUGAAAGGAUGAUCAGCCACACUGGGACUGAGACACGGCCCAG